This 580-nucleotide ribosomal RNA is filed under the name uncultured bacterium. Its description in RNAcentral is "SSU rRNA". It matches the Rfam family "Bacterial small subunit ribosomal RNA", at positions 242 to 815 of the family's 1533-position model. The record is from RNAcentral.
CAGCUAGUUGGCGGGGUAACGGCCCACCAAGGCUUAGAUCGGUAGCCGGCCUGAGAGGGCGCACGGCCACACUGGAACUGAAACACGGUCCAGACUCCUACGGGAGGCAGCAGUGGGGAAUUUUGCGCAAUGGGGAAACCCUGACGCAGCAACGCCGCGUGUGUGAAGAAGGCCUGCGGGUUGUAAAGCACUUUUAGUGGGGACAAAAAGCUACGGAUUAAUACUCUGUGGUCUUGAUUUAACCCAAAGAAAAAGCACCGGCUAACUCUGUGCCAGCAGCCGCGGUAAUACAGAGGGUGCGAGCGUUAAUCGGAAUUACUGGGCGUAAAGCGCGCGUAGACGGUUUUGUAAGUCAGAUGUGAAAUCCCUGGGCUCAACCUGGGAACUGCAUUUGAGACUGCAUGGCUAGAGUAUCGAAGAGGGAGGUGGAAUUUCCGGUGUAGCGGUGAAAUGCGUAGAUAUCGGAAGGAACACCAGUGGCGAAAGCGACUUCCUGGUCGAAUACUGACGUUCAUGUGCGAAAGCGUGGGGAGCAAACAGGAUUAGAUACCCUGGUAGUCCACGCCAUAAACGAUGACAA